GCUGGGUGCAGUGGCACACACCUGUAAUUUCAGCAGCUCAGGAGGCUGAAGCAGGAGGAUCACAAGUUCAUAGCUAGCCUUACCAAUGGCGAGGUGCUAAGGAACUCAGUGAGACCCUGUCUCUA
RNAcentral lists this small RNA (125 nucleotides) under Marmota monax (woodchuck). Lineage: Eukaryota; Metazoa; Chordata; Mammalia; Rodentia; Sciuridae. The record is from RNAcentral.